UGGGGAAUUUUGCGCAAUGGACGAAAGUCUGACGCAGCAACGCCGCGUGGAGGAUGAAGGCCUUCGGGUCGUAAACUCCUGUCGAUGGGGACGAAAACCUCGUAAGGGGUCUGACUGUACCCGUUGAGGAAGCCACGGCUAACUCCGUGCCAGCAGCCGCGGUAAUACGGAGGUGGCAAGCGUUGUUCGGAAUUACUGGGCGUAAAGGGCGCGUAGGCGGCGGAACAAGUCAGAUGUGAAAGCCCCGGGCUUAACUCGGGAAUUGCAUCUGAAACUGUUUUGCUUGAGUUCUGGAGGGGAUGGUGGAAUUCCCAGUGUAGCGGUGAAAUGCGUAGAUAUUGGGAGGAACACCUGCGGCGAAGGCGGCCAUCUGGACAGUGACUGACGCUGAGGCGCGAAAGCUAGGGGAGCGAACGGGAUUAGAUACCCCGGUAGUCCUAGCCGUAAACGAUGGGCACUUGGUGUUGGGGGUAUUGAGUCCCUCGGUGCCGGAGCUAACGCGAUAAGUG
RNAcentral lists this ribosomal RNA (509 nucleotides) under uncultured Acidobacteriota bacterium. RNAcentral's name for it is "bacterial SSU rRNA". It matches the Rfam family "Bacterial small subunit ribosomal RNA", at positions 355 to 866 of the family's 1533-position model. Lineage: Bacteria; Pseudomonadati; Acidobacteriota. The record is from RNAcentral.